This 933-nucleotide ribosomal RNA is filed under the name uncultured bacterium. RNAcentral's name for it is "bacterial SSU rRNA". It matches the Rfam family "Bacterial small subunit ribosomal RNA", at positions 8 to 916 of the family's 1533-position model. The record is from RNAcentral.
AGAGUUUGAUCCUGGCUCAGAGCGAACGUUAGCGGCGCGCUUAACACAUGCAAGUCGCACGAGAAAGAGCUUCGGCCCCGGUAAAGUGGCGCACGGGUGCGUAACACGUAGGCAAUCUUCCCUUGAGCGGGGGGAUAACGUUUCGAAGAGACGCUAAUACCGCAUAAGACCCCGACCGGUUCGCCGGUUGCGGUCAAAGCUGGCCUCUCCACGGAAGCUAGCACCUAAGGACGAGCCUGCGGCCCAUCAUGCUAGUUGGUAGGGUAAUGGCCUACCAAGGCGAAGACGGGUAGCUGGUCUUAGAGGAUGAUCAGCCACACUGGAACUGAAACACGGUCCAGACUCCUACGGGAGGCAGCAGUGGGGAAUAUUGGACAAUGGGCGAAAGCCUGAUCCAGCGACGCCGCGUGAGUGAUGAAGGCCUUCGGGUUGUAAAGCUCUGUUGAGGGAGAAGAAAACAGUUAGGGCGAAUAGGCCUAGCUCUUGACGGUAUCCCUUUAGAAAGCACCGGCUAACUCUGUGCCAGCAGCCGCGGUAAUACAGAGGGUGCAAACGUUGCUCGGAAUUACUGGGCGUAAAGCGCGUGUAGGCGGACCUGUAAGUUGGACGUGAAAGCCCUGGGCUCAACCCAGGAAUUGCAUUCAAAACUACAGGCCUAGAGUGAUGGAGAGGGUGGCAGAAUUCCUGGUGUAGAGGUGAAAUUCGUAGAUAUCAGGAGGAACACCGGUGGCGAAGGCGGCUACCUGGACAUCAACUGACGCUGAGACGCGAAAGCGUGGGGAGCAAACAGGAUUAGAUACCCUGGUAGUCCACCCCGUAAACGUUGGGAACUAGUUGUGGGGUCCAUUCCACGGAUUCCGUGACGCAGCUAACGCAUUAAGUUCCCCGCCUGGGGAGUACGGCCGCAAGGCUAAAACUCAAACGAAUUGACGG